CCUACGGGGGGCAGCAGUCGAGAAUCAUUCACAAUGGGGGAAACCCUGAUGGGGCGACGCCGCGUGGGUGAAGAAGUAGUGCGGUAUGUAAAGCUCUAUCAGUAGGGAAGAAGAAAGACGGUACCUGACUAAGAAGCCCCGGCUAACUACGUGCCAGCAGCCGCGGUAAUACGGAGGGGGCAAGCGUUAUCCGGAUUUACUGGGUGUAAAGGGAGCGUAGACGGCUGUGCAAGUCUGAAGUGAAAGCCCGUGGCUCAACCGCGGAACUGCUUUGGAAACUGGAUAGCUUGAGUACUGGAGAGGCCGGCGGACUUCCUCGUGUAGCGGUGCACUGCGUAGAUAUUCGGAGGAACCCCAGUGGCGAAGGCGGCCUGCUGGACAGCAACUGACGUUGCGGCUCGACAGCGUGGGGCGCAAACAGGAUUAGCUACCCCAGUAGUC
This 441-nucleotide ribosomal RNA is filed under the name uncultured bacterium. Its description in RNAcentral is "partial 16S ribosomal RNA". It matches the Rfam family "Bacterial small subunit ribosomal RNA", at positions 338 to 795 of the family's 1533-position model. The record is from RNAcentral.